UCAUACUGUGUAUUAUAUUUAUCAUAUUUUAAUAUCGAUGGUUCAUACAUGCAAUGACCAUUGUUCUUAUUACUACAAAUUUUAUUAUUAUUCAAAUUGCAAUCAAUCUCCAUUUUCUAGGAUAUUAUAUUUAUAUAUUUAUUGCAUACACAUAGUGUAUACAAUAUCAUAAAAUUGCAGCAUAAUUACAGUUUUUGUAAUCAGUUUAUAAAUCAAAAGAGAAAAUUAGAAUUCACACUUUCAUUUAUUUAUAUAAAGCUAAAAAACGGAAAGAGCUAGCUAUUUAGAGGCAACGUUAUAUAAUUAUAAUUCAAUGUAUCAGGAAACUAUUUAUUUGACAAAAUCAAGCAGCGCGGUAAAAAUGAUUUUAUCGAACUAGUUGCUAGCAUUAACCCAUGCACGACGCGCGAUACUUAUCCCCACCAUGUAUGCUUCACUGCCAGUGCUUCGUACACGUGUUCGAAGUUUCUUCAAUAGCCUGUAUCCCUAAAAUCUUUUAGCUUUCGAAAGUUAUUUUACGAUUUUAUCUUUUUUUUAAAUAUUUUAGAAUAGUAUUUUAUUUAGUUAUUCAAUAUAUAAUAAUAGUAUAUAUAUAUAUAUAUAUAUAUAUAGAAAAUUUAAAAGAUUAACAUAGAUUAAUUAUAUUCUAAAAAAUAUCUAAUUCAAUGUAAGAUGUGGAGAAUUUAAUCUAAAAAUCAAGUUAGUUUAAAUUCAAACAAUUUUGUGUUCGUGAAAUUACGAUUAUAUGAUUGAUAAUAAAUAAACACAAAUAGGAAGAGGAUUGAUAAUAUCGAUAAAUGAUAAAUAUCAGAAUUGAGUGUUUGAUUAUCUUCUUGUAAUAUCUUGUAUAAAAUUUUAAUUUCACACUUCUAUUAAAGAAAUUUUUAUCUUUUCUUUUUCGAUUAAUAUCUAAAAAGCAGGGAAACGAGAGAAACGAAACAAGGUUGCUGCUUUACGUUGUAUUUGAAAAAUAAUAAUAGAUCGUGGAUUGUCAAUAGUGUAUCCUUGAAUCAUUAGUACCACAGCAUUCAUGGACGACCAGUCGGAAGAUAUGUGCGUGUUGCACUUUUUCUGAAGCAGUAUGGAAUACCUGCAGGUUGACGUAAAAUCGAUCCGAGAUGUGUUUAAAUAACGUUCACGCGUAAUUUAAUAUGGUUCUCUCAUUGAAUAUGGUCGAUUGAAAUUACAAUAUUUAUCGGAAGAAACCUAUUGACAUUUCCACAUACGCAUGACCUACUUUCGUAUUAUUUUAUUUAUCGUUCAUUUAAAUAAACAUGAAAGGAAUUAGAUGGAUAUAUAGAAUUUUCAUUUUAUUUUUCAUCGAUAGAUAUAAUUAUUCAUAUUUGAAUUUAUUCCGCAUAUAAAUAUUAUGAAUAUUAUUAAAAGAAAAAAGAAAGAAUAGAAAUUAUUAGAUAAUCUAUUACGAUUUGUAUUAUGGUAUUAUGGUUUUUUAUUUGUUAUGAUUAUUAUUAUUAUUUAAUCUUUAAAUGAUUCUAUUAAAAAAAGAAUAUGAAUUAUUUAUGAUUAUUAGCGAAUAAUUAUUUCUCUCUGCAAGAAUUCAAUUAUCAUCUCAGGUUUUGUUAUUUAUUUGAUUCCAUCUUACUUUACUUAUAUUUUCUAAUUAGAUUAUUCAUUUGUUUAAUAGGUUACAAAAGUGUUCACACGUUUAUUUAUAUAUAUAAUUAGAGUAUACAUUUAUUCUUUGUUACGAACAAUUCUAGUCAACAUAUGAUGAAUCAGUUGAUCAGGACAAAUAUAUAUGUAAAGCUCGAUCACGUUCGAAAGACAGGAAAGAAGAACCGUUACGCUAAGAGAACACAAUCCUUUUCUUUUUUUCGUAAUCGAUAUAUACAUGUCAAUGUAAUCGCAUAUGGUAUUCAUCGUUUAUUUCCGUAGGAACGCUCGUUUAGUUGGCUAAACAUCGAGUGCCAGAUAUUCUUCUCUCGAGGAACGCUGAUAAAUAAUCGGAGUGAUUUACGCGAUCUAAAAACGAUCUCGCAUGUUCGUGGGAAUCUCGAGAUAUAGAAAAUUAUUUUGUUUAGGUGUAUUUUAUUUGGAUACAAUUGACUAAAAUUGUGGGCAAUCAUUAGAACUGAAAUAGCUGAGACAGGAAAUAAAAAUUUUCUAUUUGUGUCUAAAAAAUAAAAAAAGAAAAAAUUAUCUGCUAAUUUUAUCAUCUUUUAAAAGCAUCUUAGAUUGCUCAUAAGAGUAAUUGUGAAUGAAAGUGAAAAAAAAAAAUAAUGAAUAUCGAGUUCAAUAGCAUUGUCAAUUCCUCCUAGAGUGGCGAGAAAAUAUUUUUUUUCUUUCUUUUCAUUUUACACUGUUAAGUUUUUCAUAUUCGACGGAAGUUUGCCUUUGUCGCGUCGAACGAGUGCAAACUCUCGGAACAAAUUACGAAGUGUUUGCUCAAUCGUAUACGACGUCGGUCGGAAAAGUUGGCGAUUAUCGCGUUAUCUGUCGAUUUACAACCAUGGAUGCUGAUUAUUAUAAAUGUGUUUUUCUUUUUGCUUACCACGACUUAGGUAUUGCAUCGAUUCUGCGGUUUUCCAUGCGAUUCGAGAUUUAAACUCGAGAUUAUACAAAUUGUGUAUAAAAUAUAGAGGAAUCUUUUUAUUAUUCACUUUUAUUACAGCUUACUAUAUAUAUAUAUAUAUUUAAAUUGAUCCAUUUUGCGUACUUUUCAAUUUAAAUUUCACAUACAAGUAUGUAUUUCCACCAAAUAUUUAUAUAUUCCCUAAUUUGCAUUAUUAUGAUUUCACCAACUCUCGUGUAUAUAAACGUCAGAUACAUUAUUAUACUAUAGAUAUAUUAUUAUAGAUGGAAUAUUUUAAAUUAUUUUACUAUUUCCAUAUCAUCUCAUUUAAGCAAAGAUAAAGUUCCUUAAAAAACGAAUAUGUUUGAUAUAAAAUUUGAAUUUUAUGAUUUUUACGAUAAUCGUUUUCGUUUUAUUUUAAAACUCGCGCUUUAUUCUUGCUACAUGCAUGCACUCUCGCGGUCAACAUCUGCGUUACCUAGGGCCCAUCAGUAUCCAUAUUACGUAGUAGUUUCGUCAAUUUUUUAAAUAAAUUUUUUUGUUAACGUUUACACAAAUGUAUUAACAAAUCUCUAAAUAUACCUACCAAACAAUUACAAGGUCAGCAUUUCAAUUUCUAAUUUGUAAUAAAAAAAAAAUUAAUAUAUUUUCACUUUGCGACGCCCGUGACAGGAAAUUAUAGGUUAAGAACGCCAGAUCGAAAUUUCAGACUUCUAAAUAUAAUAAGUAAAUCUUCGUAAAGAUUACGAAUCAGGUAACGUCACUAUUUCAAUUUUCAAUUUAUUAUAAAAAAAAAAAAAGAAGAAGAAAGAUUAAAUUUGUAUCUCACAUCAUCUUUAACACAGAUUUAACCAGAUUAGAGUCAAAGUGAACUUCAAAGUGAACUUCGCGUCACGUUACGAUUUACGAUUGCUCGCACACGAGUUCGAGAAUAUAGAUUCUUAUUCACAGGGAAAAUCCAUGAUUUUCCACGAGACCGAGUUCGAUUCUAUUCGUUACGAUUCUCGAUUACGAAGCAAAGUAUCGUCUUUCGUUCGUGAAACUGAAAUAUGACAGUCGGCACACGUCCAUUUAGGUUCAGGUUCAUUUCUCACGCCGAUUAGACGUCGAUUGUCGUGUUCCACGGAUUCUGUAUAAUCGUGAAUGACGGUAUUUUGACCAGAUCGACUAUCGACUUCGCUCCAAGAAGCGUUACGUACCGGCACAUUUAUCGAACAGACAAGCUACACAUAGUUUCGCUACGUUGCUUACACAACCGAUCCUUCAUACCAGUUUGCGAAGAACCGCGUCUGGAAACGUUGAAAUUCUAAAAUUGGAUCUCCGCGGUUUGGGUAUUCGAAUUCCGGGAUUAAUUCGAUUCGAUUAGCCGAAACUCUUUCGUGGCUGAUCUCAUUCCUCUCGUGGCAUACGUUUGGUUAUUUAUACCAAUUAUGAAAUCCGUAGUCAGGAUGGCUAAUUAUAUUAUUUUAUGUAUUUCGAUGUAGUCUUUUAUAAAUCUAUGAAAUGAUAGUAUCGAUCAUCAAGCUUCUAGAUUUCAAUCAUCGAUUUCUGAAGUAUUGUUCGGCUCGCACGUGUCACAUUGAUCAUCCAUAACUUUAAACCGAAUUUCUUUUGGAAUUAAACUUCAAAAUUUCUCGAAUUCAAAGAGUAAUUUAUUUUUUUAUACGAGUUCUAUUUUAAUUAAUUCUCGAUGAAAUAAAUUGCAGUGAGCCUAUAUCUGUAAAUAAAUACAUUUAUUUUUACUUUUUUCUUUAUUUUAAGGAUUUUUUCGAAGUCUUGAGCCUUCGAAUCUGCUUACGCGUGUGACCCACAUUAUUUAUCGCGGAUGUCGCGAUAAAUGAUAUCGUAAUCGGGGUUAAUACACCAUGAUUACGUUCGAACAUUAUUAUCGGCUAUUGUCGUUCGAUCUGCUAUUUCACACAUUUCUUUGCGCGACCGAUAAGCGGUUUUGUAGUUUUUUUUUUUCAUCGUGACUCGUGGAAACGAGAUGCAUUGAAAAGUGAUCAUUGACAUGUACGCGAGAUAGAAGAAGUGUUAUAAUUUUAUAAGCGAUUAUACAUAAAUCAUAUAAAUUAAAUGUUUAAUUAUGAAUUUAUUUAUAUUAAUUUUCAAUAUUUCCUUAUUACGCUUGGAUCUGUUUAGAUAAAAGUGAAAUUUCUUUUUUAGUAUCUUAAUUACUUUCGAAAAUUAAAAAAAAAAAAACAGUAUAAAAUGGAUCCAAAGAUACUAUUAAGUGUUUAAUAAUAUUGCAAAAUUUUUUUAUUUCGACUCUUUAAGUGAUUAAAACUUUGAUUAUUUAUGAGAACAAUAAUUAAUAUUAAGAACAAGGAUUGAUUAAAAUUUCUCUUCAUUCACAAGGAUAAUUAAAAAUAAAAAUCAUUAAAAAUACGUAGCAACAAUUAAAACCACGUUUGAAAGUAGUACUUAAAUCCUUUCUCACCCGCAAGUAUAAAUCAGAGAAUCAUCAAAAAUGGAUUUAUCACGUUCACUCGUUGCGGUCUUGACUAAUGAACAGCGAUGUAUAUAUACCCGCGUUCGUUUCGCGGUUCGUUUAUCCCGUUCCAGAAAUAUUCGAACGCGGACGUCGACACGUAGAUUCUCUUAAACGCGCCACAUUUCGCUUCGGUUCAAGCGAUUUUUAAUUCUUGGUUGAAAACGCGCCAACGUGGCGACAGUAAACUUACCGAGAUACGAUGCAAAUAAGUCUUAAUUCUCUUUUCACGGAAGGAUAAAUUCGAGGGAGGGUAGCGAAAUAACUGUAAUAACUGCGGUAAAUAAGGCUUCAAGAUGGAUGGAGCCUCGAUGAAAAAAAGUCGAGUCUGUUAUAUAUAGGAAGGAAUCAUCGCGAAAUUUGAAAUCAUCGAGGGGAAAAAAAGGAAAAUUUUUAUUAUCCAAGUCCCAUUGGAAUUCCAUUUAUUUACGAAUUCUUUUUUCGCGAUGGAGAAAUUUUUAGUAACAGAUCUAUAAAUUGAACUUUAAGUUUAAUAACAGUUAAUAAAAUUCGAGGAAAAUUUAAAAUUUCAUUUCUUCGAGGAUAUUUUUAUUUUUAGGUCAGUGAAUUUUUUAUACGCUUGAUCGAAAGAUAUUGAAAUUUGAAAUCACGAGAAAAGAUUCAAAAGAAGAUGGACCCUUUUAUUAAAAUUCAAUCUAAAUUAAGUUUCGUUCGUCUUCAAGAUAUUCUUAUUUUCGUUGAUCCAAAUCAAAUGAUGGAGGGAAUGAUAAAGGAAAUGGACAAAUUCGAUAAAUAUCGUUUUCUAGAAUUUUUUCGAAUUUUCUCGAGAGCAAAAUUUAGGAAGAAAAUGUUUGACUAGAUAUAUUAAUAUCAAAUUUCAAUAAUUUUAUAACGAAAUUGGAUUCCGUCCGAGGAAUCGAAAACGAACCUUUUAAUUUUCACGCGACGAAAUAAACGUAAUCGCAUCGCUUCCUUUUAUCUCGCGCGCGCAUUACAUAUUCGCCAGAUAACGAAAUUACGCUUUAAAUAGGACGGAAUGGUCUUUAAAUCUACGAUUGUGCUACAACGUGCCGCCGCAUAAAUAUCAAUUGAACAAUGUUUUUUAUAGAAAAAUCUGUCAGAUCCCGAUGAUCGUUGCACAUCGUUUAUGCAACCCGUUUUUUCCGCUAAUUUUCAUUCAUUGUUGAAGCAUUUUGAACCGUGUUCAAUUUAAUACAAAAUCAAUAUCCGACUAUAUGGAGUUCAGUCGAACUUCCAUUUAUUCGAACUAUCAGUCAGAUUAAUUAUUGUAUUGUUAACAAUAUAAAGUAUAAUUAUCAUAUGUUUGCAAUAUUACGUAAAGGAUAUUUAGAUAAUUCUAAGAAUGUUUCAAGCUGAUCCUCUUAAAUUCUUUGAUUUAUAAUUUUACAUUGCAAUUUAGAACAAUACAAUAGGCUGUGUAUGUAAAAAUCAGUCAUAUAUACAUGUAUAUAUAUUCGAAAUUGUCGAUAAUUUCGAAGAGUAAAAUUCGUUUAACGAGUAAUUUUCUAAAUUGCAAUGUAAAAUUUCUCGUUAGAAACUCAACACAACUCGCGAAGACAUCAUAAUUCAAAGAGGAUUAAAAUCAUACCAAAACAUUUACUUUCCUCCGGAGCAUGGAUUGUGUCAGAGAAACUGAAGCAUCGUGGUUAUCAAUUCUUGGAGAUAUAUUUUUUCUUGAACCAGACAUCGUAAUUUUUUUCUUUCAUUCCUUUUUUUUUUUUUUUUUUUUUUUUCUAAGUGAAUAUCUCUAAAUUUAUUCGAUCCCCUGUAUAUUUUCACGAAAACUAUCAGGAAUCACCACACGCUGCGAUAUAAACGAUUUUCACGAUUAUAUAUGAAACUAACGUGUACCAUAUUACUCGUUUGAAGUGAAAAAUAAGUUCAAGGUCUAUUAGGUUCCAUAUGAAACGAGAGCUUUAUUCGAAUUCGCGAACAGGAAGAAGCAAUUACGGAAUUGUUUUUUUUUUUUUUUUCUCGUGAAAAUAAUCAAGGAAAAUGACUACUAUUUGGAGAGAAGAGACCAGAGUUUCUUUUGGGGAUAGUUGGAACGAGUUUCUUGUCUCUCGCGUAGACAAUAGACGUUGGAACAUGAGACAUAAUUACGUGUCGACUUUAAAUCAUUUUUAAUUUCACGUUUCUUUAAUCGGUAAUUAUUCCCUCGAAAUUUUUAGAAAAAUAUUCCGAGAUAAUUGUAAUGGUGUAAAAAAUUCUCUUAUUUUAUAUUUCAUCAGUUAAAGAAGAUGGAUAAUGUUGAAACGUUUUAUUUAAUUUAAUUUAAGAAAGAGUGUGGGAUAAAAAAAAUUAUUUCAAUGAUCUCUUUUAUUGCAUUGCGGAAUAACGAUAGAAGGAGAUGAUUAUUUAAAAAGAAUCGAGAGACUGAAACUCUAAAAAUCUUUCGGAGUUUUAUUCUAGAGUUUAUUGACGUCAUCAUCGUCAGACGUUCUAUUUGAAACAAUAACAGGUUUCUUUUAAAUAAAGACGAUCUCGUGGAAGUAUGUAAAAUUCGUGUUACGAUAGUGAUUCAUCCUCGUUGAAUUUUCUCCUAUCAUUCACCAGAGAAAUCUCCUAGUCAUUGCCUAGUCCAUUGACUUUAAAUCGCUGUUAAUCGGAAUUGAUUCUUCGUUGAAUUAUGUUUCUCGAAGAGAGCGAAAAAUCAUAAGCAUUGUGUUUAAAGAGGAACGAUAAACAGGACGGAACGAGGGAAGGAAGGUCGUGAAAAGGUUGCAAAGGUUGUAAAAAAAGAAUAAAAAUAAAAAAUCGUAAAGAACUGUGGAAAAAUUAUAAAAAGCUGCAAAUAUAAACAACUAUAAAUCCGAGGGAAGAUAAAAGAUACUUUGCUUAAACUAAUAAAAAAUAGCUUGCUUUUUCGUAGACAACUUUUUGCGAAAAAUUAAGUAUUUAAGAGAUUUUGUACUUGCGACACGAUUCUUUCAGGGGAAAGAAAAUUAUACAAAAAUUAAUCGAACUCUAUUUUACCGCUGCGAAUUUUAAACGAUCCUCGGAUUAUACUCGAACCGAAGAGAAUUAAAAAAUUUGCAACUUUUGGAAGAAAUGAUACAAAAAAAUUAUUAAUCGAUCAUUGCUCUUAAAUGGAAAUUAAGGCGAUCAAUCUCAAUUUUCCUUUCUAAAAUUUCAGCCACGAAUUAUACUCGAUAAUUACCAUAUUAAGCAUUUUGAUACUUCAAUUACGAAAUUGUCUCAAUCAGCGAUCUAUAGUCACGAGACCCGCGUGUAAUUUCAUCUUUCGAGUUUAUUACUCUUCGAAGUGUAUAUUUAUAGAGUUGAACGUUGCGUAUACUUGGAUUUUUUUUUCACGAGAUUGCGAUUCCAAUCUGUCUAACAUUUUUUUUUUUCUUUAAUCAUGAAUCGCGCAUCAUUGUAAAUUAGCACCCGAGUUCGAUCCGAGAUUUCGAGGAAGAAUUAAUAUUUCUUGUUUUCUUUUAUUUUUAUCUCCUUUUAAUUUGCAAUUUCGAAUAUAAAAUUGGACGAUGGAUGGAAUAUCGAUUUCUUUUUAACGAGAAUUAAUCCAAUUUAAAUUCGAAGUCGAUUCUUGGGAUUGUCAGUUUGUAGAAUAUUGGAAAUCGUGGUAAAUUAAAUAUUGAAAUUAAGGGCGAUUGUGGCGAAGGGAAAUUGUUCGGGUUUUCACGAAAGAUCAUUCCGAGGAGUAAUAAAGGAGGAAAGAUAUUUUUUUUAAUUUUCGAUUCAUUCGUUCAUUUCCCUGACAGAAAUUACGUCGUGGAAUAAUUUCAAAAAUAAUUUAAAUAUCGUGGAAACGUUUUAAUCUAAUCUAAUCUAAAUGUAGCGAGUCCAAUUUUCCUUAGAAUUUGUUUAGAAAAAUUGCGAGAUAUUUUUUUCUUUUUUCGUGGAUAAAUAAAUAAAUUGAAAUCGCGAUUGAUAUAAUAGAGGGCAAAAGUUUCACAAUGAGAUGGAUAACAGGUGAGAAACGCACUGUGAAUAUUACGUACGUAAAUGUUAUCGCGAAUAUUCAUCGUUAUUGCCGUGCCAUAUGUAAAUUAUCUCGUGUCUAGAUCAGUCGCUGUGAACACAAUAUCGUGUCUUUUAUCCCUGUUACGAUUUUCAAAUGUUCCAUUUAUUUUCCCUUUUCUUUUCCUUUUUCUUUCCUUCUUUUUAAUCAAUCCAUUUUUAUCUUUCUCUUUUCCUUCAUUAAUUCCACAUUAACUCGGGGCCAAUAUCGAUGAUGGGAAAAUUAAAUCGUAAAUUUUGAUCGAACAAACGAUUCACGAAAGAAGGAGAUAUUAGUGACGAUUUUUGUAAUGAAAAGAUAUCGAAGGAGAAGAGUUAGAAUGGAAUUAUUCAAAGUUAAAAAUCAAAGAUGUUUUGUUCUCUGUACAAAGCUAGAUUUUUAUAUUUAAAUCGAGAUAAAAUCUCUCGUUUCCGUAUGGUUGCGAAUAAACGAUGAUAUUAUUUAGCUGUUGCGCAUAGGCUAAAUGCCAGGGUUACACGGUCACGAAAUGCGAUUCAUGCUAAAACAUUUUACAAUAAACUGUCUACAAAUUAGAAGGAUAAUAGUUGGGAAGACGUAAAACAACUGGUGAAUUUCGUACAAAAAGCUAUAUCCGAUGUUAACAUUGAAAACAGAUUGGAACACGGCGAUAAAACUCGCGGAAAUAUCUUUUCGGGUGCAAAAUAAAUCAUAAAAUAUUCUACAUUCUUCUUGUUAACACGAUUUAAAUAUACGUUUCUGGCCCAUUUGAAACUUCAUGGAUUCGAAAAGAGGCGUGUAAAUAGUAAAUAAUUAUGCUUCCGGAACUCGAUUUAAAUCCUUUGUAUACGUUCUGAUCCGUUUUUCACGUCUUGAAAAAGAACGACGAAGAACAUAUAUGUGUGUGUGUGUGUGUGUUUGAAAAUUUCUUACUUUUACUCGAAACGAAUAUUUUAAAAAAAAAAUUGUAUAAAAAGUCUUUAAGCGUGUAAAUAAUGCAAUUAUAUUCCACGAUUAUAUUUGAUUAAAUAAAUUGCAGGAAGGAAAUAUUU
This is a long non-coding RNA of Apis cerana (Asiatic honeybee), 10001 nucleotides long. RefSeq lists it as uncharacterized. The record is from RefSeq and is a predicted model, not a curated record. NCBI's taxonomy places the organism in Eukaryota, Metazoa, Arthropoda, Insecta, Hymenoptera, Apidae.